RNAcentral lists this ribosomal RNA (468 nucleotides) under uncultured bacterium. RNAcentral describes it as "partial 16S ribosomal RNA". It matches the Rfam family "Bacterial small subunit ribosomal RNA", at positions 28 to 507 of the family's 1533-position model. The record is from RNAcentral.
GACGAACGCUGGCGGCGUGCUUAACACAUGCAAGUCGAACGGAAAGGCCCUGCUUUUGUGGGGUGCUCGAGUGGCGAACGGGUGAGUAACACGUGAGUAACCUGCCCUUGACUUUGGGAUAACUUCAGGAAACUGGGGCUAAUACCGGAUAGGAGCUCCUGCUGCAUGGUGGGGGUUGGAAAGUUUCGGCGGUUGGGGAUGGACUCGCGGCUUAUCAGCUUGUUGGUGGGGUAGUGGCUUACCAAGGCUUUGACGGGUAGCCGGCCUGGGAGGGUGACCGGCCACAUGGGGACUGCGGGAGGGCCCAGACUGCAACGGGAGGCAGCGGGGGGAAACCUUGCACAAUGGGCGGAAGUCGGAUGCAGCGACGCCGCGUGCGGGAUGACGGCUUUCGGGGUGUAAACCGCUUUAGCCUGUGACGCCGCGGGAGUGACGGUAAUGGGUAAAGAAGCACCGGCUAACUACGUG